GACGAACGCUGGCGGCGUGCUUAACACAUGCAAGUCGAGCGGUAAGGCCCUUUCGGGGGUACACGAGCGGCGAACGGGUGAGUAACACGUGGGUGACCUGCCCUCAGCUCUGGGAUAAGCCUGGGAAACUGGGUCUAAUACCGGAUAUGACUCCAUGACGCAUGUUGGUGGGGUGGAAAGCCUUGUGCGGCUGGGGGAUGGGCCCGCGGCCUAUCAGCUUGUUGGUGGGGUGAUGGCCUACCAAGGCGACGACGGGUAGCCGGCCUGAGAGGGCGACCGGCCACACUGGGACUGAGACACGGCCCAGACUCCUACGGGAGGCAGCAGUGGGGAAUCUUGCGCAAUGGGCGAAAGCCUGACGCAGCGACGCCGCGUG
RNAcentral lists this ribosomal RNA (376 nucleotides) under uncultured bacterium. Its description in RNAcentral is "bacterial SSU rRNA". It matches the Rfam family "Bacterial small subunit ribosomal RNA", at positions 28 to 403 of the family's 1533-position model. The record is from RNAcentral.